Molecule: transfer-messenger RNA, 352 nt
Filed under: Alphaproteobacteria bacterium
Lineage: Bacteria; Pseudomonadati; Pseudomonadota; Alphaproteobacteria
Rfam family: Alphaproteobacteria transfer-messenger RNA
About the family: Bacterial tmRNA, also known as 10Sa RNA or SsrA, is named for its dual tRNA and mRNA-like properties. Its role is to liberate the mRNA from a stalled ribosome. To accomplish this part of the tmRNA is used as a reading frame that ends in a translation stop signal.
Source: RNAcentral
CUGUUUUUUUCUUAACCAACGCUGUGCUACAAUGGCUUUGCCAGUUCACUGGCUAUGGCGAUAAACGCCUUGUGGAAUAGACGCUGCGGACCCGGGGGCGGUACCCGGCGCCUCCACCCUGCGACCCGUGCGGCGGGUCACAAGACGGGGGCGAAACAGGAUCGACGCGCGUGAUAAAGACAUGGUUUUUGCCCGGCAUGAUUCCGCCGUUAUCGGGUCAUUUUGAUAAAUGCCAACGACAAUGUUGACAUGAGCAAUGUUGCUAUCGCUGCCUAAUGUCCGCAUCGCGGAAGUAAGGUAGUUAGCACUUGAUCGCGGCCCGGGGGGCGCCGGGCAACAGAAGCCCCCCAAU